This 940-nucleotide ribosomal RNA is filed under the name uncultured bacterium. RNAcentral describes it as "bacterial SSU rRNA". It matches the Rfam family "Bacterial small subunit ribosomal RNA", at positions 51 to 1024 of the family's 1533-position model. The record is from RNAcentral.
ACACAUGCAAGUUGAACGGGAUUUGUAUGGUGCUUGCACCAUGUAAUGAGAGUAGCGCACUGGUGAGUAACACGUGGGAACAUACCUUGAAGUGGGGGACAACAGUUGGAAACGACUGCUAAUACCGCAUAAUCCCUGAGGGGGAAAGAUUUAUCGCUUUAAGAUUGGCCCGCGGAAGAUUAGGUAGUUGGUGGGGUAAAGGCCUACCAAGCCGACGAUCUAUAGCUGGUCUGAGAGGACGAACAGCCACAUUGGAACUGAGACACGGUCCAGACUCCUACGGGAGGCAGCAGUGAGGAAUAUUGGGCAAUGGAGGAAACUCUGACCCAGCCAUGCCGCGUGAGUGAAGAAGGUUUUCGAAUUGUAAAGCUCUUUCGGAUGGGACGAUGAUGACGGUACCAUCUAAAGAAGCCCCGGCAAACUUCGUGCCAGCAGCCGCGGUAAUACGAAGGGGGCAAGCGUUGUUCGGAAUUACUGGGCGUAAAGGGUGUGUAGGCGGAUUUGUAAGAUAGUGGUGAAAUACCUGAGCUCAACUUAGGAAUUGCCAUUAUAACUAUAGAUCUGGAGUGACAGAGAGGAUAUUGGAAUACCCAGUGUAGAGGUGAAAUUCGUAGAUAUUGGGUAGAACACCAGUGGCGAAGGCGAGUAUCUGGCUGUCAACUGACGCUGAGGCACGAAAGCAUGGGGAUCAAACAGGAUUAGAUACCCUGGUAGUCCAUGCUGUAAACGAUGAAUGCUAGUUGUCGGCAAAAGCCGGUGACGCAGUUAACGCGAUAAGCAUUCCGCCUGGGGAGUACGGUCGCAAGAUUAAAACUCAAAGGAAUUGACGGGGACCCGCACAAGCGGUGGAGCAUGUGGUUUAAUUCGAUGCAACGCGAAGAACCUUACCAACUCUUGACAUCCUCAUCGGGGCUUUCAGAGAUGAGAGCUUUCAGUUAGG